Gasterosteus aculeatus aculeatus (three-spined stickleback) is the source of this 2521-nucleotide long non-coding RNA. The record is from Ensembl. NCBI's taxonomy places the organism in Eukaryota, Metazoa, Chordata, Actinopteri, Perciformes, Gasterosteidae.
UUUAGGUAUUCUUUGUAAUUUUAAUUCCAUAAAUUUAGUUUAAAUGCAGACAGUAUUUUGUACUCACUAAAAUCUUAAAUAAAACAUUACAGUACAAUAUAUGCAAAUCAGAAGAGCUUUAAGAUUUUGUAGAAGCAAGCUACACUUUCUUUAGCUUUUUUUUUAAUAUUCAGUUGUUUAUUCAUUUAUUCUUUUUUUAACUGUUGAAGGACCGAAGAGUUAAGACAGCAGUAAACAGUAAAAAGACAACACGGAGCUUGUAAAGCCUGCAGGCCAGCCAAGGAGCACAUUCUAUCACAAACACUAGAGACAGCACGUCACUGUGGGUCUGAACUGAGGCCCCGCCCACUGAUGCCCCGCCCAUCUCCCGAGAGGUGGGUGCUGGUUCCCUUAUGAACACCAGAGGGCGCUGUUACGUCGUAGGCGAAGGGGGGCGGGUGAAGCUACGCGAUGUAGUUCCACCUUCACGAAUAACUGCUUUUAAUGCACAAUUCAGACGGAAAGAGAUGGCGCCUUCGCUUCCCCUGUGAGGAGGGGAAAAGUGUUGGGGAGCGCCACCUAUCGGCUGCGGCUGAUUGUGCCGCACCACAUUUUUCAAGUCUUUACCUGCACAACCAUUGUAUAUGAAUAUUCCACUAUGUUACAAUCUUAUUGAUAAUUGAUGAGAAGAUUUGACUCAAAUUGGAUCUGACUCAUUUAGAGCCCCUGAAAACAGUUGUCUGAAGGUGUCAUCAGCUUCUUACUGUGAACGAUGGUACCCACCAUUUUAAUGCACAACUUUGCAGUCGGAAAAGUCUUCCCAUGAGCGAUGUAUCUGUUUUGGCACCCCCGGGCUGGUUUGAAGUGGCCGUGGCUUUGUUGGCGAAAAAGGUGAUGUCACGUUUUUUGUGCACCAAUCAGAGCCAUUUGAAUAGUCGCACGAAUCAUCGGGUCAAACCAGAGUAACAACACCAUUUAUUCCUAUGAAGAAACACGUGAUGUCGGAAAACCAGGUUUCCGUGGGUUUUAACACCCAGAUAGCUAAUGCUACUAACGUUAGCUUUUCACGUAGCGUUGGUUACUCCCCUUCAAAUUUUACAAGUGACAUAAGACGUUGUCACCAGGAGAGCGUUUUCGCUUUUUCCUCCCCAUCUUGAGCAGUGCACUCCUUUUGGCCUAUCAAGACUGUUAAUGCGUGGAAAUACACACCAGAAAGAGAGAAAGACACGUGAGCUACAACGGCGGGGGGAUGGGGGGCCAACACAGACCAGGUCAACCCACAUCUGUGAGUCCAGACCUCAUGGUGUGACCAGAGGAGCAGAACCCUGGACCUCCACCAGCCUGUGGAGUGCCUUUCAUUAGCUGCAGGAUGGAAGUGAAGAAAGCGCUCUACUAGUACUGCUCUUGAAAGCAACAUAUCCUGCACAUUCCAAUACUACUACUACUACUACAUUUUACCAUUAUCUAUAUUAUGGACUAAUGUUGUUUUUCCGAGCAUUUGACGAGAUUGUUGCUGUGUGAAUUAGGAGCACCCCCCAUGUGCAACGCGGCCUGUGUGAAGAGUGAAAAAGGUAUGAGCUUCAGUGGUUUCCUAAACAAGAAAAGAAAUGUCCUCGUAGUCCAGUUGUUGAAGAUUUAAGAGUCUCGACCUGAGACUUAAAGCCAAACAGCGAUAGGGAAACACAAUUACAAAGGGUUUUUUCUACCUUCCUAAAAUAAAAAUGGGGAUUUCAAAAUCCGAUCUAUUGUGUGAGACAAACGCAGUGGCCCUAGCGAGGCGGAGGGCCUUCCUGGUCUCUCAGGGUCCCCGAGGGUCAACCAGCAACCCCCCCCCCCCCCGUACAGUUCUGGAAGGUAAAACUCACGUCAUGGUAGAAAAAUAUAUCGUCCUGAUGAGAUCUCUCUAGUCAUUUUUCAUUUGUAGUGUAAACGCAUCGUAGUAGCAGCGCAAAGUGACUCAUGAUUAGUACUACUACUACUACAAAACACGUCCUCCCACUACUAUGUUUUUACUCGCACUUAGAAAAAAAAUUAUUGUUAAAAGUUCCGUCUUUCAUUGGCAUCAUUAGGCAACGUUUUUUAUUUAUUCCAGAUACUCUACAAUAUGGUUACGAUGUAAACACCACCCCCAUUGAUUAUUUGACCGUAUCUGCACAAAGUAAAACACAAUGUUACAAGGCAAGUGGCUACUUAAACAUAGAUUUGUUCAUGAGAAAGACAAAAACAAACAAAAUUGAAAUUAUGAAACACACAAGAAAAAAAAAAUCAAGAGAAAAGAGACCUUGCAACACCUGGCAUAAAGUUAUUUUUCAAGAAAAAAAUAGAUUUUGUUCUUCUACAGGUCAGGUGACCUUGUUAAAAAGCUGGUGAUGAUCAGUACUACCCCCCCCCCCCCCCCCCCUGUGAUAUAUCGGCCACCUUUAGCACUUGGAUUGGACUCUUCUACUCGUCACAAACAACAAGCGGCCCAUUUUGAGGAGCUACGCGUACGGGCCGGGAGUUUGGACCCCUUUGAAUUCCUUUUCUACAUUACCUGGGCGGG